Molecule: RNA transcript, 3536 nt
Organism: Calidris pugnax (ruff)
Lineage: Eukaryota; Metazoa; Chordata; Aves; Charadriiformes; Scolopacidae
Gene: HRH2
Gene name: histamine receptor H2
Exons: 4
Source: RefSeq, a predicted model, not a curated record
GCUUCUGCCUUCACACACUGAGCCACGCACGCCGGGGGAAAGUUGGAGGCAGCGCAGCCACCGAGGGCUCCCACCUGCUCGGGGGCUGUGGGAAAGCAGCACCUUUCCCAGGUUGUCCUCAGGAGGUGGCAAAGCUCUGUCCCUGCUGGAGCACUGCUGACUGCUGUCACCAACCAAACAUGCAGACUGUGUGAGACCCCACGGGAGCCAACCCCACAGCCACUCAGAGGAAAGGAGAAGGUAGGAGAGGAAAAGGGAGCAGUUGAGACCCACCAGCAGCUGACACAGGGGAUCAGCUCCAGCACUGAGAUCCCAGAUGGGGCCAACAGGCACAAGCAAGGUGCAGGACCACAUCUUUCCCUAGACUGUGUCAUUCCUAGUAUACAAGGCUGAACAAGUGAAGCAACUCCGCAGUGUUCUCCAAGGUCACUUGGGAAGGGGCUCUAGGGCUGCCCGGUAGAGGCUCACUCCAAGUAGCUUUGGAGCUGGUGAGAGCAGGACUGAUCCAUCCAUAUGACUACAUUAUGGAGCUGUGUUACAACCGUACAAGCCCUCAAAAAAGGAUGGAAUUUCCCAUGCAACUACUGGUUGGGUCCUGCCUUGCCAUCCUCAUCGUGAUCACUCUCUGCGGUAACAUCAUUGUCUGCCUGGCUGUCAUCCUUGACCGCCGGCUCCGCAGCUUGACGAACUGCAUCAUUGUCUCUUUGGCCAUCACUGACCUGCUGCUGGGCCUCUUGGUGCUGCCAUUCUCUGCCUUCUAUGAACUCACCAAAGAGUGGCCCUUCGGCAGCACUUUGUGCAACAUUUACCUCAGCCUGGACGUCAUGCUGUGCACGGCUUCCAUCCUCAACCUCUUCAUGAUCAGCCUGGACCGCUACUUUGCUGUCACCACCCCGCUUCGCUACAGCCAGCUGGUCACUCGCUCCCGGGUGGCUGUGGGUUUGGUUGUUAUUUGGACCGUUUCACUGAUGGUCUCUUUCCUGCCCAUCCACCUGGGCUGGAACACCAGUGGGACAGCAGUCCAAAACAACGACAGCAAGGAGUGCAUGCUGGACGUGAACACUCCGUACGGGCUAGUGGAUGCCUUGCUCACCUUCUACAUCCCUUUGGUCAUCAUGUGCAUCACCUACUACCGGAUAUUCAAGAUAGCGAGGGAGCAAGCCAAGAGGAUAAACCACACAUGGUGCAGCAGCAGCAACACCCCCAUGCCACCCAUGGUGAAAGAGCACAAAGCCACCGUGACGCUGGCAGUGGUGUUGGGAGCUUUCAUUGUGUGCUGGUUCCCCUAUUUCACAGUGUUUACAUACCGGGGGAUACGGGGGAAAUGCACGGUGGACAGCACAGUCAUGUCCAUUGUCCUCUGGCUGGGCUACGCCAACUCAGCCCUGAACCCCAUCCUCUACGGGACGUUCAACAGGGAUUUCCGAGUGGCAUACCAGCACUUGCUGCACUGCCGGAGGACUAGGGACCCCAGGAUCUCCUGCCUGCCUCCCCUGCAGAAGGCCCAGUCCAGGGGCAGGAACUGCCAGCAGGGCCAGAGCAGUCAGGAAGGUAAACCCCUGAAACUGGAGAUAAGGAACGGGAAAGGGAUCUUGCUGAAUGAUGGAGCCCUCAAGAGCACCUGAGCUUUCCCGUGAGUCUCAGCCAGCCUGCUGCCCUAGGACCCACGUCUCCCACCCGUCAGCUCCUGGCUGCCCUCUUCCAAAAUCCUGUGAGGUUGAAAGGACAACACUCAAUUUUCCUCAGGGAGAAACUCAAUGGCAGGGGUGAGGGCCACAGGGAUGCCUGCUCUGCCAUGCAGCAUUUGCUCCAACCCCAGACACUGCUGGAGAGGCCUUUGCCUGCCCAAGUUUCUUCCCAGGAGGGUGGUGUGUUUGAAGAGCCCUCGGAGGAGCUGCAGAAGAGCCUCUCCCCUGCCCUGUUGGGGCUGUGACACCUCCAGCGUCGAGCCCCACACCAGCAGGCAGUGAUGCCCAAGGAGCUGGGUCAGAAGCUAGCAUGUACCCCCAGGAUGGGGGUGUCCUCCCCAAGCCCAGGGCAGUGGGUCAGGCUGAGAGGGCACACGGUGGAGGGAAAAGGGGCUGCAAUCAAGGUCUUGGUGCCAGACAGACCAGCCUAGGGUGGAGAAGCAGAGCACAAGCACUACCCUCCCUUAUACCCUGUCCAAGGGCCAUAUCCACCCCUUGGAGGGGGCAGGAGUCCAGGCAGAAGGGUGGACAAUGUGGCAGGAGGGCUAAUCAUGGCAGAUGUCAGCAGCCAUGAGUACUGGUUGAUCAUGCACAGGAUGCCCAGUCCUACAGCAUCUGUGCUGGGGCAAGCUUACCUGCCUCCCACGUUGGGGAGGUUUUGGCAUCGCCAGGGCUGACCCUGCUUCAUGUUCCCUGUCCCAGCCCCACUGCAAGAAGGAGGGAGGCCCUGGAGCCUGCUGGGCCAUGGGGGGACACUAAGCAGCUGGGGUUUGUCCCCAGGCUCUGCCCUCCCCGGCAGCUCAAACACUAAGACCACCAAAACAGGAUGUUUCCACACUGAGUCUGUGCAGAAGUCAUCAAUGGUAUAAAAAUCUAUUUAACACAGAGAUGAUUGAUUAAUUUGGGUGUGCCCUGUCCUGGGAAGAGCCUCCCUUUCCCCCUGUAUCCUGCUGUCCCAUCUCCAUGUCUUUGCUGGGACAGAGCCCGGACAAACACACAGCACAAGCCCCCCAGGACACAGGUUGCAGCCCCCCCAGGAAGAGCUGGCACCCCCAUAGAGAGCACCUUGCCCUGUGGGACCUGCUAAAGGACCCCCUCUCCCAGGUCCCCGAGCUGGUGGGAAGAAGGGGCAGCUAGGACCGGAUAGGACAGGAACAAACAAGGCUCCUUGCUGUGCUGUGCAGCAAGUGUUUCCUCCUGGAAUAACCCUGACUCUCACCACCUCCGGGGCACAGCGUGCUCGUUCUGCCCCCCACAUCAUCCCCAGGGCACAGACAGACCCCCGUUUGCAGAUUCCCCCCAGAAGGGAGGGUGCUGACCCCCCCAGACAACCGGUUUCCCGUGGGCCGGGGCUCUGCCCUGGGUCUCAGGCGUCGCUCAAGGACAUUAGUGCCCCGAAUUUUGGGGGUCUCCCGACGGCUGGGGGGAGGGGGUGGAGGUGUACCUGGAAGGGGCUCCCUGCACGGGGCCAAGCCGGGGUGCCCGACACCCACCCGGUGAACGCCAUGACCCGCAGGAGCAGGGGGACAGGGGGCCUCCCCCGGGGAGCGGGGCGGGCCGGCGGCAGCGCAGGCUCGGAGCUCCCCCUGCUUGUUGCCGGGGACAGGCCCGCCCCUCCCGGCCACACACCCGGCUGGGUACCCCCCAAAACACCCACAGGGCUCCCCCCACCCCGACCCGGCACACCAGACCCCGCUGGGGUCCCCAGACCCUCUGUCACCCCCAAAGCCACCGCAGCCCGACCGCUCACACCUCUGGGGGUUUGGCCCUUAGAAUCAUAGAAUCGUCUAGGUUGGAAGAGACCCUUGGGAUCAUCGAGUCCAACCAUCUACCCUACCCUACAAAGUC